Molecule: ribosomal RNA, 350 nt
Filed under: Streptomyces sp.
Lineage: Bacteria; Bacillati; Actinomycetota; Actinomycetes; Kitasatosporales; Streptomycetaceae
Description: bacterial SSU rRNA
Rfam family: Bacterial small subunit ribosomal RNA
Source: RNAcentral
GGCAAUCUGCCCUUCACUCUGGGACAAGCCCUGGAAACGGGGUCUAAUACCGGAUAACACUGCGGAUCGCAUGGUCUGCGGUUAAAAGCUCCGGCGGUGAAGGAUGAGCCCGCGGCCUAUCAGCUUGUUGGUGGGGUGAUGGCCUACCAAGGCGACGACGGGUAGCCGGCCUGAGAGGGCGACCGGCCACACUGGGACUGAGACACGGCCCAGACUCCUACGGGAGGCAGCAGUGGGGAAUAUUGCACAAUGGGCGAAAGCCUGAUGCAGCGACCCCGCGUGAGGGAUGACGGCCUUCGGGUUGUAAACCUCUUUCAGCAGGGAAAACCAAAGUGACGGUACCUGCAAAA